RNAcentral lists this ribosomal RNA (473 nucleotides) under uncultured organism. RNAcentral's name for it is "partial 16S ribosomal RNA". It matches the Rfam family "Bacterial small subunit ribosomal RNA", at positions 332 to 797 of the family's 1533-position model. The record is from RNAcentral.
UACACUCCUGCGGGAGGCAGCAGUGGGGAAUAUUGCACAAUGGGCGCAAGCCUGAUGCAGCCAUGCCGCGUGUAUGAAGAAGGCCUUCGGGUUGUAAAGUACUUUCAGCGGGGAGGAAGGCAAUACGGUUAAUAACCGUGUUGAUUGACGUUACCCGCAGAAGAAGCACCGGCUAACUCCGUGCCAGCAGCCGCGGUAAUACGGAGGGUGCAAGCGUUAAUCGGAAUUACUGGGCGUAAAGCGCACGCAGGCGGUCUGUCAAGUCGGAUGUGAAAUCCCCGGGCUCAACCUGGGAACUGCAUUCGAAACUGGCAGGCUUGAGUCUUGUAGAGGGGGGUAGAAUUCCAGGUGUAGCGGUGAAAUGCGUAGAGAUCUGGAGGAAUACCGGUGGCGAAGGCGGCCCCCUGGACAAAGACUGACGCUCAGGUGCGAAAGCGUGGGGAGCAAACAGGAUUAGAAACCCCUGUAGUCCC